CCCUUCUGUGACCUACCUAUCGUUGCUUCGGCGGACUCGCCCCAGCCCGGACGCGGACUGGACCAGCGGCCCGCCGGGGACCUCAAACUCUUGUAUUCCAGCAUCUUCUGAAUACGCCGCAAGGCAAAACAAAUGAAUCAAAACUUUCAACAACGGAUCUCUUGGCUCUGGCAUCGAUGAAGAACGCAGCGAAACGCGAUAAGUAAUGUGAAUUGCAGAAUCCAGUGAAUCAUCGAAUCUUUGAACGCACAUUGCGCCCGCCAGCAUUCUGGCGGGCAUGCCUGUUCGAGCGUCAUUUCAACCCUCGACCUCCCCUUGGGGAGGUCGGCGUUGGGGACCGGCAGCACACCGCCGGCCCUGAAAUGGAGUGGCGGCCCGUCCGCGGCGACCUCUGCGCAGUAAUACAGCUCGCACCGGAACCCCGACGCGGCCACGCCGUAAAACACCCAACUUCUGAACGUUGACCUCGAAUCAGGUAGGACUACCCGCUGAACUUAAGCAUAUCAA
This 507-nucleotide ribosomal RNA is filed under the name Beauveria bassiana. RNAcentral's name for it is "eukaryotic LSU rRNA". The stretch from base 142 to 295 matches the Rfam family "5.8S ribosomal RNA". Lineage: Eukaryota; Fungi; Ascomycota; Sordariomycetes; Hypocreales; Cordycipitaceae. The record is from RNAcentral.